This 356-nucleotide transfer-messenger RNA is filed under the name bovine gut metagenome. It matches the Rfam family "transfer-messenger RNA". From Rfam's summary of the family: Bacterial tmRNA, also known as 10Sa RNA or SsrA, is named for its dual tRNA and mRNA-like properties. Its role is to liberate the mRNA from a stalled ribosome. The record is from RNAcentral.
GGGGGUGAUCCGGUUUCGACGGGACAUGACUUUGGUCGGAUUGCGCGCCGUGGAUGCUCGUUGGCCACGUUAAAAAACGGGUAAAAACAGUAAUUGCGAACAACGAUUACGCUCUCGCCGCCUAAGUAACGGCCGCGAUGUCGAAGCGCCGACGUCUGCUAAGCGCCUAGGCAUAAAUUCAGCAGAUCUCGCUGCGGAGAGUUCCGUUUGCCCGUCGCAGGGAGCCGAAUCAAACGGUUGAUCGGGGAUAAGCCCGCCGGUUGGCGUGCCACGGUCGAGACAAACAUCCGGAUACGCGCGUAGAAGUUCGAUGGGAGCGGUUUCGGACAGGGGUUCGACUCCCCUCACCUCCACCA